Molecule: ribosomal RNA, 263 nt
Filed under: uncultured bacterium
Lineage: Bacteria
Description: partial small subunit ribosomal RNA
Rfam family: Bacterial small subunit ribosomal RNA
Source: RNAcentral
AGGACGAACGCUGGCGGCGUGCUUAACACAUGCAAGUCGAACGGUGACCCUCGGAGCUUGCUUCGGGGUGAUCAGUGGCGAACGGGUGAGUAACACGUGAGUAACCUGCCCCAGACUCUGGGAUAACCCCGGGAAACCGGAGCUAAUACCGGAUACGACACGGAGAGGCAUCUCUACCGUGUGGAAAGUUUUUCGGUCUGGGAUGGACUCGCGGCCUAUCAGCUUGUUGGUGAGGUAAUGGCUCACCAAGGCGACGACGGGUA